This is an RNA transcript of Musa acuminata AAA Group (dessert banana), 1812 nucleotides long. RefSeq lists it as uncharacterized. The record is from RefSeq and is a predicted model, not a curated record. The transcript has 3 exons. Lineage: Eukaryota; Viridiplantae; Streptophyta; Magnoliopsida; Zingiberales; Musaceae.
GCCGUGAUCGCCCCCAGCCUCACUGUUGCUCGCAUCAGCAAAUAUUUUGAUAACCCAAUCCCUUCCUCUUCCCCCGUGAGGUGCGGGCGCGAGCGAUGCGGAGCAGCAGCCAUGGAGGUCGUCAGCCUCAAACCCUUCUUUAGGGUUCCUCCCUCCUCUCAUCUCCAUCAAAACCCUACCCGUUCCCGUUCCCCGCUCCUCUCCUAUCAUUCCCGAUCCAAACCCUCGCCUGUCUCCAUCUCCUUCGACUCCCCGGCCAGGAGGUCACCGCCCACCCUCGCCGCCCCAUCUGUCUCCAGCUCCCCUCGCUUCAACCCGUUCUGCCUCCUCCUCCCCAUCCUCCACUCCUUCGGUGGGUUCGUCCUCUCCCGCCUGCCAAAGGUGCGGCCUUGGCUGCACGGCGGCCUCGAUGGUCGCGACGGGGAGGACGGCUACCUUUGCUGCGGCAGCAUCGGGACGCUGCUGAUGAGCACCACCGCGGCGGUGUCCAAGGCCCGGGUCAGCCCCUUCCUGUGGACGCUGGCCGGGAACCCGACCUUCGUGUCGGGGCUCGUGGCCUGGUCCCUGGCGCAGACCAUAAAGAUGUUCCUCAACUUCUUUGUGGAGCGGAGGUGGGACCUCGGGAUGCUGUUCAGCUGCGGGGGAAUGCCGUCGUCCCACUCGGCGCUUUGCACCGCGCUCACGGCUUCGGUGGCGCUAUGCCAUGGAGUGAGCGACUCGCUGUUCCCCGUGUGCCUUGGCUUCAGCCUCAUCGUCAUGUAUGAUGCGAUUGGCGUCAGACGGCAUGCCGGCAUGCAGGCUGAGAUUAUCUAGCUGGUUUUUGUCUUCGUUUUCUCGUGGCCAUUAAGGAGAACUUGUUGAUAAGUCUGCUUACAUGAUACAUGGUUGACCUGAGUUACGAAGGAUUUCACAUAACACUUCACUUCUACUGUAAGUAUAGGGAUCAUAGCACAGGUGAUGUGUGCCAUUUCCAAUUUCACCAUCUUAAAACAAUAUGCAUUUUGAGUCAAAGGUGUUGGCACCUGUCUAUGGUCUUUAUUGAAUAAGCAUCUAUGCAUGAUUGUUAUUAUUAAAACUAUAUGAGAAACUCCUUGUCUAACAUGAGAAACAUAGCAGCAUAAGCAGUUUAGACAGAGCAAGUUCAUUAUCAAAUAACAUUCUAACAAAGAUCAUAGUGAACCAGUCAAUCAAAUCAGCAUCAUGAAUCAGGAUGACAAUAAUAAAGGGUAAAAAAGAAGAAAUCAAGCUCAGAGAACCAAAAAAAUGAAAUGAAAGAUGCAUAACAUUAAACACAUUUAAGAAAACAGAAAAAUAGAACAAAAAGGAUAGAUAGUAUGAGAGAAAGAUUGGCGAGUCAGCCCAUAAGACAAAAAGAUGGAGGAAAAUUUUCUAACCUGAUAUCACUUUUUUCCCUAUCGUCUAUGUACUUUGUUUUCUGUCUUCCCUGCAUAUAAUAAACGGCAGUAGAGAGGUGGUCUUUUCCUACAUGCUCACGGGAAUAGUGCAGCCGUGGAGAACAUGCGUAAAAGAAACUGGGGAUCAAAUAUCAGGUGUAGCGGUUGGUAUCAGCAGGAAUUUGGUCUGACAGCCAACUCAAACAUAGACUGGAUGACAUAGUCUGACUUUGCUCAGUAUGAGUUGCAUGAUCCAAUAAGCUCAUGCUUACCAGAUGGUACUUAAUAAGAUCAUCGAGGACUUGUUUCAAGGGCAUCCCAUCAGUGAAAGAAAGCUAAAGGAGCUCCUGGGUCACACGCCAUCGCAAGUAUUUGCCGGGGCUGUUCUCGGCAUCUUGGUUGCUUGCAUCUGCUGUCA